Episyrphus balteatus (marmalade hoverfly) is the source of this 934-nucleotide long non-coding RNA. RefSeq lists it as uncharacterized. The record is from RefSeq and is a predicted model, not a curated record. Lineage: Eukaryota; Metazoa; Arthropoda; Insecta; Diptera; Syrphidae. The transcript is spliced from 2 exons.
AUAUAUAUUUCAGAUCAAAGGUAAAAAAACAUUUCAUUCAAGAUUAGAUAUUGGGACUUUAUAGCGAAAAUAGUGAUGAGCAGAGCUCAAAAACUAGACGUAAUGGAAUAAAUCUGUUAACAGUUUUGAAUUCAGCGCACUCAAGUUAAUUGAAAUCACCUUACAGAGUUCUUGCUCUCGACUUUUUUUGUUUUUUGCCGACCAGUGUAAUCGUUUAAAGGAGUUCCAAGCUGGAUUCAGAGCUGGUUUUUCAACUUUAGAUCAAACUUUUGUAUUAACUUCUGUUGAACGCACCCAACACUGAGAAGCAGCUCAUGUAAAGGCCGAAUAAUCAACUCGUUGAAAUAUGACAAUUCAAUUGACGAGUCUGUCAUUUUUUGCUCAUCAUCUGUCACUUACUCUGUCAUUAUCAAUCGAGCAGCUGCAAAAAUAAAUUCUCCUUUCUAAAAAUAAAGUGUGUCGUGUGUUUUAUUUCUUUAUAUUAAAAGAUUUUUAAAACGAAAAGUUAAAAAAUAAAAAUAAAGGUUUACGCCACAAUCAUUGGUCCUUCGAGCCUUAAAGGUUUAAUUCGAAAAAUAUAGUCUAUUAAAGUGGAUGUUAAAGGAUUAACCAAAGUGUGUGGUUCUAAGUGUGAUAUAAGAGAGAAAUAUUCAUCACGAGGAGAAGACGCCAUUUUGCCGCUUUCAAAAUGAAACAUAAAUUUGAAACAUUAUUUCCAACAAAAAACCAAGAUAAAAAACCACAUCUUUUGCCCGGGGAGAAUGUUGAACGCACCCAACACUGAGAAGCAGCUCAUGUAAAGGCCGAAUAAUCAACUCGUUGAAAUAUGACAAUUCAAUUGACGAGUCUGUCAUUUUUUGCUCAUCAUCUGUCACUUACUCUGUCAUUAUCAAUCGAGCAGCUGCAAAAAUAAAUUCUCCUUUCUAAAAAUAAA